This 526-nucleotide ribosomal RNA is filed under the name uncultured bacterium. RNAcentral's name for it is "bacterial SSU rRNA". It matches the Rfam family "Bacterial small subunit ribosomal RNA", at positions 501 to 1028 of the family's 1533-position model. The record is from RNAcentral.
CUACGUGCCAGCAGCCGCGGUAAUACGUAGGGUGCGAGCGUUAAUCGGAAUUACUGGGCGUAAAGCGAGCGCAGACGGUUACUUAAGCAGGAUGUGAAAUCCCCGGGCUCAACCUGGGAACUGCGUUCUGAACUGGGUGACUAGAGUGUGUCAGAGGGAGGUAGAAUUCCACGUGUAGCAGUGAAAUGCGUAGAGAUGUGGAGGAAUACCGAUGGCGAAGGCAGCCUCCUGGGAUAACACUGACGUUCAUGCUCGAAAGCGUGGGUAGCAAACAGGAUUAGAUACCCUGGUAGUCCACGCCCUAAACGAUGUCAAUUAGCUGUUGGGCAACUUGAUUGCUUAGUAGCGUAGCUAACGCGUGAAAUUGACCGCCUGGGGAGUACGACCGCAAGGUUGAAACUCAAAGGAAUUGACGGGGGCCCGCACAAGCGGUGGAGCAUGUGGUUUAAUUCGAAGCAACGCGAAGAACCUUACCAGGUCUUGACAUCCCUCUGACCGCUCUAGAGAUAGAGCUUUCUUCGGGACA